GACGAAAGAUCGAUAAGGUUUUUGUUCUUGUACUGCUGGKGUUGUUUWAUUCAAGAUAUGAUUCGUAAUGAUACGGAAGAGRAGAAAGUAAGAAGCCGGGUCUAAUUAAACAGACUAGGUUGAACUUAGUCCUAUAGCUCAGUUGGUUAGAGCGCUACACUGAUAAUGUAGAGGUCGGCAGUUCAACUCUGCCUGGGACUACGAACGGAAUCAAGUUCGGGGGAUUAGCUCAGCUGGCUAGAGCAUCUGCCUUGCACGCAGAGGGUCAACGGUUCGAAUCCGUUAUUCUCCACUCCAUCGGAAACGUAAGAAACGAAGAUGAACGAUCUAUGACAUAUUGUACAAGCAAACAGUAAUUUUAGUAGUAAAGAGCUGAAAGUAUAUAUCAUCCCGCUGGCACGCAAGUGUGGGCGAAUGAAUA
RNAcentral lists this transfer RNA (421 nucleotides) under Phocaeicola vulgatus. RNAcentral describes it as "Bacteroides vulgatus partial 16S-23S ribosomal RNA intergenic spacer". The stretch from base 128 to 201 matches the Rfam family "tRNA". The record is from RNAcentral. Lineage: Bacteria; Pseudomonadati; Bacteroidota; Bacteroidia; Bacteroidales; Bacteroidaceae.